RNAcentral lists this long non-coding RNA (940 nucleotides) under Equus asinus (donkey). RNAcentral's name for it is "lncRNA (ENSEASG00005038049.1)". The stretch from base 531 to 640 matches the Rfam family "FAM13A antisense RNA 1 conserved region 1". Lineage: Eukaryota; Metazoa; Chordata; Mammalia; Perissodactyla; Equidae. The record is from RNAcentral.
GUAAUCUGCCAGGUGGUCAAAUUCGGUUCCAGCCAUGAGAAAGUAGAACCAAAUGCUGGGGAAAUGGAGAGGAAGGCAGGAGCCCAGAAGACUCUCCGGAUGGGCACUUCUGGAUUUACCUGUCUACCCUCCCUCCCCUGCGAAGCUCUGGAACUUCCUUCGCUGUCAGUCAUCUACCAAUUUAGUGAAAUUAUUUAGUAACUUUUGGUGGGCGGGAUUCAGUGAAAGUGUAAUGAGAGCCCCCCAGUACCUAGUUCUAGGUCCUUCUAGUUCUACGUGGGACACCACCUCAGCAUGGCUUGAUGAGCGGUGCUAGGUCCACACCCAGGAUCCAAAUGGGUGAAACCCUGGGCCACCAAAGUGGAGUGCACGAACUUAACCACUCGGCUGCAGGGCUGUCCCCCGAGCUUUACAUUUUUAAAAGGGUUCAAAAUAAAAGGAAGGAGAUGUGACAACAAUUAUGUGUCCUAAAAAGCCUAACAUAUGAGUAUCUAGUCCACAAAGAAGGAUUUGCCAGCCCCCGUGAGACCAGACGUGCAGGAAUCACAAUGACAGAGUGGCUGACCUCACUGAAGUCUUAGAGGGACUUAGUUGGACGUUGAACCAGAGAGAACAGUGUUUGGACCUUUCUGCCACAGGGUAAGGAAGUCAAGCUUCAUCUAAGAUUAACCCACAGAAAGGCAUGUCAGGAUUUCGACCAUAACAACUACCACAUACUGAUUGUGUGCUGUGUGCCAGACCCUGCACCAGGCAUUUGCUAUGCACUAUCCAGUUUAAUUGCUACCACUACCCUCCUGGCUCUACGACUUAUUAGCUGUGUGGCCUUGGGCAGGUUUCUUAACCUCUCUGUACAUCAUUUUCUUCCUAUUUAAUGGAAUUAUUAUGAGACAAUAAUGUGGAAUUGUUAAGAGAAUUAAAUCAAUAAACUCAUGGAAAGCAC